CCCUUCUCAGGGUCGCACCUGGAGAGUUUCCAGUACUCUACCAGUUGCGGCUAAGGGAGGGAGAGUCAAGCAGAAGCUUACCUAUUUUAUUCCUAAUUUGGGCAGUGGCUGGUGAGUGGAAGCCAAUCUGCUACAAGU
Molecule: non-coding RNA, 138 nt
Organism: Ornithorhynchus anatinus (platypus)
Lineage: Eukaryota; Metazoa; Chordata; Mammalia; Monotremata; Ornithorhynchidae
Source: Rfam